RNAcentral lists this unclassified non-coding RNA (606 nucleotides) under Hevea brasiliensis (rubber tree). Lineage: Eukaryota; Viridiplantae; Streptophyta; Magnoliopsida; Malpighiales; Euphorbiaceae. The record is from RNAcentral.
UGCUCAGGAUUUCAAGACUGAUCUCAGGUUCCAGAGCAGUGCUGUUGCAGCUCUUCAAGAGGCAGCAGAGGCGUACCUUGUUGGGCUCUUUGAGGAUACUAAUCUCUGUGCUAUUCACGCUAAGAGAGUGACAAUUAUGCCCAAAGAUAUACAAUUGGCCCGAAGGAUUAGAGGUGAAAGGGCUUGAAAUGAUUGUUAAUAUGUUUGGUAGAUCUUUGUCUUAGGUAUCUGUUUUUAUUUCUAGAUUAAUAUGGCUCUUGUUAGGUCUGUUUAUUUGUCCUUAUCUUUGUAUUGGCUAAGCUAUUUGUAAUCGCUAUGGAAAUCUAAUGGGCAAGUUAUUUUGCUCUUUUUAUUUUAUUUUUUGCAAGUUACAUGCUCGGUGAUUGUUUUCUGCUGUUAAUCAUCAGUCUUUUAAUCUGUAUGCUUCAUAGGGGAUUGCAGGGCUGAGGAAAUAAUUUAUGGGUUAUUUGAAUUGGGUAAUGUGGUUUGUUAUGUGGGAAAGCAUAAUUAACUGGAAUUGGGAAGUCAUGUAUUUUGAGAAUUAGAUGGCAUUUGUUAGGAGGAAUUGAUAGAAGGAUGAAUCUGUUUACUUGCAUUGGAUGGGCU